ACUUGUUGAAGUGAUAAAUUUCCGAACGCAUUUAUGGAAUUUAGUGCAAGUCCCUCGCCGUUGCCACAACUAAAUUUUAUAAUAAAGUUAGCAGACAGCUUUAGUAGCCCGCAGAGGUGGUCGUAGAUGGUGGAAAGUGUGUAGUGUCCGGCACACAACCCACUAAGAUAAUAAAACUCAGUGCCUAAGCCUUGCUGGACAAAGCCUUGGCUGAAGUAAAUUGCCGGCAUGGAUUACCAGGAUUUGUUUAGGAACUCCCGUACCUGAAAGCACCACGUUCUUCCUUCCACCGCAAGGUGCUGGCUCAAAUUAACUUAUAGAGGUGCUGCCGAUAUUGCCCACGACUCGAAAAUAUUUACUUCAGAUUGUGUCUCCUUUUUAUACUUUUUCAAACAAGUCUUGGUUUCUUUGACACUCAUUUCAAGCAUAAUAAAAAUGUAAAGCUACGUA
Tribolium castaneum (red flour beetle) is the source of this 450-nucleotide long non-coding RNA. RefSeq lists it as uncharacterized. The transcript has 2 exons. The record is from RefSeq and is a predicted model, not a curated record. NCBI's taxonomy places the organism in Eukaryota, Metazoa, Arthropoda, Insecta, Coleoptera, Tenebrionidae.